AUCCUACGGGAGGCAGCAGUGGGGAAUAUUGCACAAUGGGGGAAACCCUGAUGCAGCGACGCCGCGUGAGUGAAGAAGUAAUUCGUUAUGUAAAGCCCUAUCGGCAGGGAAGAAGCAAGACGGUACCUGACUAAGAAGCCCCGGCUAACUACGUGCCAGCAGCCGCGGUAAUACGUAGGGGGCGAGCGUUAUCCGGAUUCACUGGGUGUAAAGGGAGCGUAGACGGCCAAGCAAGCCAGGGGUGAAAGCCCGGGGCCCAACCCCGGGACUGCCCUUGGAACUGCAUGGCUGGAGUGCGGGAGGGG
Molecule: ribosomal RNA, 305 nt
Filed under: uncultured bacterium
Lineage: Bacteria
Description: bacterial SSU rRNA
Rfam family: Bacterial small subunit ribosomal RNA
Source: RNAcentral